Mycena crocata is the source of this 89-nucleotide non-coding RNA. The record is from the annotation of a GenBank genome assembly. NCBI's taxonomy places the organism in Eukaryota, Fungi, Basidiomycota, Agaricomycetes, Agaricales, Mycenaceae.
UCGGGUGUGGUGUACGGCGCAUGGCAGCGUUUCUUAUUCCCGGUCUGAUGGCCACGCUGCAGACCGGGGUUCGACUCCCCGCAUCCGAA